UAAUCCGACCUAGGCUCAUCUGAUAGCGCAAGGCCCGAAGGUCCCCUGCUUUCUCCCGUAGGACGUAUGCGGUAUUAGCGUUCGUUUCCGAACGUUAUCCCCCACUACCAGGCAGAUUCCUAGGCAUUACUCACCCGUCCGCCGCUCUCAAGAGAAGCAAGCUUCUCUCUACCGCUCGACUUGCAUGUGUUAGGCCUGCCGCCAGCGUUCAAUCUGAGCCAGGAUCAAACUCU
RNAcentral lists this ribosomal RNA (233 nucleotides) under uncultured bacterium. Its description in RNAcentral is "partial 16S ribosomal RNA". The record is from RNAcentral.